This 500-nucleotide ribosomal RNA is filed under the name uncultured bacterium. Its description in RNAcentral is "bacterial SSU rRNA". It matches the Rfam family "Bacterial small subunit ribosomal RNA", at positions 68 to 562 of the family's 1533-position model. The record is from RNAcentral.
GGGGAAGGGUAGCUUGCUACCUGACCUAGCGGCGGACGGGUGAGUAAUGCUUAGGAAUCUGCCUAUUAGUGGGGGACAACAUUCCGAAAGGAAUGCUAAUACCGCAUACGCCCUACGGGGGAAAGCAGGGGAUCUUCGGACCUUGCGCUAAUAGAUGAGCCUAGGUCAGAUUAGCUAGUUGGUGGGGUAAAGGCCUACCAAGGCGACGAUCUGUAGCGGGUCUGAGAGGAUGAUCCGCCACACUGGGACUGAGACACGGCCCAAACUCCUACGGGAGGCAGCAGUGGGGAAUAUUGGACAAUGGGCGAAAGCCUGAUCCAGCCAUGCCGCGUGUGUGAAGAAGGCCUUUUGGUUGUAAAGCACUUUAAGCGAGGAGGAGGCUACUGAGAUUAAUACUCUUGGAUAGUGGACGUUACUCGCAGAAUAAGCACCGGCUAACUCUGUGCCAGCAGCCGCGGUAAUACAGAGGGUGCGAGCGUUAAUCGGAUUUACUGGGCGUA